GACGAACGCUGGCGGCGUGCUUAACACAUGCAAGUCGAGCGACGCUCUUCCUUCGGGGAGAUGACGGAGCGGCGAACGGGUGAGUAACACGUGGGCAACCUGCCCCUAGCUCUGGGACAACACCGGGAAACCGGUGCUAAUACCGGAUACGACAUCGAGCGGCAUCUCUCGAUGUGGAAAGUUUUUUCGGCUAGGGAUGGGCCCGCGGCCUAUCAGCUUGUUGGUGGGGUAAUGGCCCACCAAGGCGACGACGGGUAGCCGGCCUGAGAGGGCGACCGGCCAACCUGGGACUGGGGCACGGCCCAGGCUCCUACGGGAGGGAGCAGGGGGGAAAAUUGCGGAAUGGGCGAAAGCCUGACGCAGCGACGGCGCGUGAGGGAUGGCGGCCUUCGGGUUGUAAACCUCUUUCAGCAGGGACGAAUUCAGACGGUACCUGCAGAAGAAGCACCGGCCAACUACGUG
Molecule: ribosomal RNA, 462 nt
Filed under: uncultured bacterium
Lineage: Bacteria
Description: partial 16S ribosomal RNA
Rfam family: Bacterial small subunit ribosomal RNA
Source: RNAcentral